Molecule: non-coding RNA, 478 nt
Filed under: Trichomalopsis sarcophagae
Lineage: Eukaryota; Metazoa; Arthropoda; Insecta; Hymenoptera; Pteromalidae
Description: Eukaryotic large subunit ribosomal RNA
Rfam family: Eukaryotic large subunit ribosomal RNA
Source: Rfam by way of RNAcentral
GACUAAUGUAGGUAAGGGAAGUCGGCAAAUUGGAUCCGUAACUUUGGAUUAAGGAUUGGCUCUGAGAAGCGGGGCGCGUCGGGCUUGGUCGGGAAGUGGGUCUGGUUGACGUGCCGGGCCUGGGCGAGGUGAAUGACCCUCCUUCACAGGGGGGUCGAGAUCCGAGCUCGGUACCGUGCCUUGGCCUUCCGCGGAUCUUCCUUGCUGCGAGGCUUUUGGGGCGGUUACACCGCCCUGAUCGUUCUCUUCGGCCGCCAUUCAACGCUCAGCUCAGAACUGGCACGGACUAGGGGAAUCCGACUGUCUAAUUAAAACAAAGCAUUGCGAUGGCCCUCGCGGGUGAUGACGCAAUGUGAUUUCUGCCCAGUGCUCUGGGAGAGAAGAAAUUCAAGCAAGCGCGGGUAAACGGCGGGAGUAACUAUGACUCUCUUCAGGGGUGGGGUCUGAACGACUUUAGGACCCCACACCAAGUGCCAUC